UCUCAGUUCGGAUUGGAGUCUGNAACCCGACUCCAUGAAGCUGGAUUCGCUAGUAAUCGCGCAUCAGCCACGGCGCGGUGAAUACGUUCCCGGGUCUUGUACACACCGCCCGUCAAGCCAUGGGAGCCGGGGGUACCUGAAGUGCGUAACCGCGAGGAGCGCCCUAGGGUAAAACUGGUGACUGGGGCUAAGUCGUAACAAGGUACC
Molecule: ribosomal RNA, 207 nt
Filed under: uncultured bacterium
Lineage: Bacteria
Description: partial 16S ribosomal RNA
Rfam family: Bacterial small subunit ribosomal RNA
Source: RNAcentral